AUUGAACGCUGGCGGCAGGCCUAACACAUGCAAGUCGAACGGUAACAGGAAGAAGCUUGCUUCUUUGCUGACGAGUGGCGGACGGGUGAGUAAUGUCUGGGAAACUGCCUGAUGGAGGGGGAUAACUACUGGAAACGGUAGCUAAUACCGCAUAACGUCGCAAGACCAAAAAGGGGGACCUUCGGGCCUCUUGCCAUCGGAUGUGCCCAGAUGGGAUUAGCUAGUAGGUGGGGUAACGGCUCACCUAGGCGACGAUCCCUAGCUGGUCUGAGAGGAUGACCAGCCACACUGGAACUGAGCCACGGUCCAGACUCCUACGGGAGGCAGCAGUGGGGAAUAUUGCACAAUGGGCGCAAGCCUGAUGCAGCCAUGCCGCGUGUAUGAAGAAGGCCUUCGGGUUGUAAAGUACUUUCAGCGGGGAGGAAGGGAGUAAAGUUAAUACCUUUGCUCAUUGACGUUACCCGCAGAAGAAGCACCGGCUAACUCCGUG
RNAcentral lists this ribosomal RNA (490 nucleotides) under uncultured bacterium. Its description in RNAcentral is "partial 16S ribosomal RNA". It matches the Rfam family "Bacterial small subunit ribosomal RNA", at positions 30 to 507 of the family's 1533-position model. The record is from RNAcentral.